UACGUAGGCAGCGAGCGUUGUUCGGAAUUACUGGGCGUAAAGAGUGUGUAGGCGGUGCUCUAGGUUCGGUGUGAAAUCUCCUGGCUUAACUGGGAGGGUGCGCCGGAAACUGGAGUGCUUGAGCGUGGGAGAGGAAAGCGGAAUUCCUGGUGUAGCGGUGAAAUGCGUAGAUAUCAGGAGGAACACCUGUGGUGUAGACGGCUUUCUGGACCAUAGCUGACGCUGAGACACGAAAGCGUGGGUAGCAAACAGG
This 253-nucleotide ribosomal RNA is filed under the name uncultured bacterium. RNAcentral's name for it is "partial 16S ribosomal RNA". It matches the Rfam family "Bacterial small subunit ribosomal RNA", at positions 524 to 776 of the family's 1533-position model. The record is from RNAcentral.